RNAcentral lists this ribosomal RNA (475 nucleotides) under uncultured bacterium. RNAcentral describes it as "bacterial SSU rRNA". It matches the Rfam family "Bacterial small subunit ribosomal RNA", at positions 365 to 832 of the family's 1533-position model. The record is from RNAcentral.
UUCGCAAUGCCCGAAAGGGUGACGGAGCGACGCCGCGUGGGUGAUGAAGGCCUUCGGGUUGUAAAGCCCUGUCAACUGGGAAGAAUGGCGGGAGGUGAAUAGCCAUCUCGUCUGACGCUACCAGUGAAGGAAGCACCGGCUAAAUACGUGCAAGCAGCCGCGGUAAUACGUAUGGUGCGAACGUUGUUCGGAAUCACUGGGCAUAAAGAGCACGUAGGCGGUUGAGCAAGUCCAUUGUGAAAUCCCCCGGCUUAACCGGGGAACUGCAGUGGAUACUACUUGACUUGAGUGCAGGAGGGGAGAGUGGAAUUCCAGGUGGAGCGGUGAAAUGCGUAGAUAUCUGGAAGAACACCGGUAGCGAAGGCGGUGGUCUGGGCCGAAACUGACGCUGAGGCGCGAAAGCCAGGGGAGCAAACGGGAUUAGAUACCCCGGUAGUCCUAGCCCUAAACGAUGGGCACUAAGUAGAGGGGUUUU